AAGUGAGUGACUUAUAAAUAUUCAAGUUAGUUGUGCACAUGGAAUAUUACACGAUAUACUUGACUAUAGAACUGAUAGAAUGCAGAUUACAAAACAAAAUAGAGGAACAAUCAAUUGAGUGGAAAGACCCUAGGACCGGUUCAGCACUCGAAAGCACAUUGACAGUCGCGGGGCUGGGAAUCCAUCGGUGCUCCAUUUGAUUGAAAAGCAGCAAA
Molecule: non-coding RNA, 215 nt
Organism: Styela clava
Lineage: Eukaryota; Metazoa; Chordata; Ascidiacea; Stolidobranchia; Styelidae
Source: RefSeq, a predicted model, not a curated record